This is a long non-coding RNA of Arabidopsis lyrata subsp. lyrata, 1155 nucleotides long. RefSeq lists it as uncharacterized. The record is from RefSeq and is a predicted model, not a curated record. The transcript has 4 exons. Lineage: Eukaryota; Viridiplantae; Streptophyta; Magnoliopsida; Brassicales; Brassicaceae.
ACCUAAUUACUCUCAUUCUUCUUUAUCCUCUCAUACCUCGUCACUCGCUUCCUCUCCAGAUUCUUCACUUCUCCCCACACAAAACAAAGCAAAGAUCUCUCUCAGAUCUGAAUCCUUCAUCUCCAAUCUCUAAUGGCGGCACCACCAGCAUCAUCCUGGGCAAGGGAAGAGUUCGUUUACCUCGCAAAUCUCUCUCUCUCUUCUCUCAGAUCUGAAUCCUUCAUCUCUGAUCUCUAACGGCGGCACCACAACUAGAUUUUGUCGACAAAGACGAACUCACCGUCGAGGAACGUAAAAUCCUCUCUGUGACUUACAAAAUCGUUAUCGACGCACGUCGUGCUUCGUGGUUGUGUUUAAGACUCCCAGGUUUGACUAGUUUGUCGUGAUUCUUAAGCUUGUGGACCUUAUAAGGAAGAGGUGGAACCUGUUGAGGACGAAUUCUCGCGAAAGAGGUAGUCUUUUAAGAAUAUGUAUACCUUGCUCUUUUCUUUUCUUUUCUUUAUUCUGAUGAUUUCAAAGCUGUGUUUUUUUGUGAUGUGGUGUGGUUUGUUUACUUUAAGAGUAUUUGCAGCUAAUGCUUUCUCUUGGUCUCCACUAGUUUUGGAUCAUUAAUUCGAUUUUUGUAGCUUUGAUUCACCUUGAUUGCAAUCUUGUUUUUUUUGCUAAACGUCUGUGAUAGUGAGUGAUACAAUGCAAAAUUCUAGGCUUUAAGAUCAACUACAAGUUCCUUGUAGAUAAGUACACUAGUAUAUUACUGUUUUAAGGUGAAACUAGCUCAAAUAGUUUCUACGGAAAACAUGUUAAGCUUUCUCUAUGUUCUGGGAUGUUGUGUUUGUUUUGUGGGUUAAAAACAGAUCAAAAGCUAUCUCCGGAAAGUCUCAACCAUUCUGUUUAGAUACACUACUUGAAUAUAGAAAGUGCAUCAUCUGUCAAGACGAAUAUGAGCCGAAGGAUCAAAAUAAAAAUUUGUUCAUGAGGAUUAUGCACAGAAAUGCUGACUGGAAGGCGAAACUUAAAGAUGAGACGAGAUUGAAGUUUAUCUUUAUGAUGUUAGCUUUAUUUUGUUUAAUACUUGAUAUGAUGUUAUGUAAAAAUAGAUAAUGUAAUAUUAUGUAUGUUGAUGAUUUAUGAAAUAUAAAAAUUAUAUUAGAAAUU